UGUUUUAGUCUAGUUAGAGGAACCUGUUUUAUAAACGAUACAACACGCAUUAUUUUACUUAUUUUAGUAAAUCAGCUUGUAUACCGUCAUUAUAAGAUAAUUUAGGAGAAAAUAUUAUUGAGAUCAUAUUAUUGAGUAUAUUAGAUCAAGGUGCAGCUUAUAAGUAAGUAAAUAUGGGUUACAAUAAAAUUUAUUUAAUAUGAAUUAAGUAUUUAAAUAAACUUAUGAAGGAGGAUUUAAUUGUAAGGAAAGGAGUAGUGAGAUUUUCUGAUAUAAGCUCUAAAUUAU
This 288-nucleotide ribosomal RNA is filed under the name Procambarus alleni. Its description in RNAcentral is "partial 12S ribosomal RNA". The record is from RNAcentral. Lineage: Eukaryota; Metazoa; Arthropoda; Malacostraca; Decapoda; Cambaridae.